Molecule: ribosomal RNA, 219 nt
Filed under: Triticum aestivum (bread wheat)
Lineage: Eukaryota; Viridiplantae; Streptophyta; Magnoliopsida; Poales; Poaceae
Description: partial small subunit ribosomal RNA
Source: RNAcentral
AUGGCUGAAGCAGCUUACAAUCACUUCUCUGAUGUGCUCGGAAGCGCCACGGAGCAUGACAUCACGCUUGAUCUCCGUGCAUUGCGCGUUCUGCAGUUUGACUUACACGAGCUUGAGUCGCCGUUCUCUAAGGAUGAGAUUUGGAAUGCAAUCAAGAGCGUACCUACCGGCAAGGCGCCCGGCCCCGUCGGAUUCACCUCUGAAUUCCUUGUUGCAUGA